Long non-coding RNA from Heterocephalus glaber (naked mole-rat), 325 nucleotides. The record is from Ensembl. Lineage: Eukaryota; Metazoa; Chordata; Mammalia; Rodentia; Bathyergidae.
CAGGAAGCCAGACUGAACAGAUGUGUCUGCCACCACUUCCUGGGGUGGGGUCAGGCCGCACCAGCUUUGAUCAACCAAAGGAGGAAUUUCCAGUGUCAAGGGCCCUCUGCAAAGACUCCCCCAGGGCCUAGCCCAAGAGGUAAAGGAACCAAGGAUUAAAAAGCAACCAGGAGCAUCCCAACUGGCAGAGCAGCACAAAAGACUCCUGCACUACAGAGGAGAUUUGGAGAAACAUGCUAUGGAAGGAGCAAGACAGAUGAAGAGUUGCCUACAUGUUGGAGUGGAAUUCCGUGAGGAAGUGUUGAGAUGUACUGGAAUCUUUAAG